RNAcentral lists this ribosomal RNA (724 nucleotides) under uncultured bacterium. RNAcentral describes it as "bacterial SSU rRNA". It matches the Rfam family "Bacterial small subunit ribosomal RNA", at positions 28 to 776 of the family's 1533-position model. The record is from RNAcentral.
GAUGAACGCUGACAGAAUGCUUAACACAUGCAAGUCUACUUGAUCCUUCGGGUGAUGGUGGCGGACGGGUGAGUAACGCGUAAAGAACUUGCCCUGCAGUCUGGGACAACAUUUGGAAACGAAUGCUAAUACCGGAUAUUAUGCGAGAUUCGCAUGUUUCUCGUAUGAAAGCUAUAUGCGCUGCAGGAGAGCUUUGCGUCCUAUUAGCUAGUUGGUGAGGUAACGGCUCACCAAGGCGAUGAUAGGUAGCCGGCCUGAGAGGGUGAACGGCCACAAGGGGACUGAGACACGGCCCUUACUCCUACGGGAGGCAGCAGUGGGGAAUAUUGGACAAUGGACCAAAAGUCUGAUCCAGCAAUUCCGUGUGCACGAUGAAGUUUUUCGGAAUGUAAAGUGCUUUCAGUUGGGACGAAGUAAGUGACGGUACCAACAGAAGAAGCGACGGCUAAAUACGUGCCAGCAGCCGCGGUAAUACGUAUGUCGCAAGCGUUAUCCGGAUUUAUUGGGCGUAAAGCGCGUCUAGGCGGUUUGGUAAGUCUGAUGUGAAAAUGCGGGGCUCAACUCCGUAUUGCGUUGGAAACUGCCAAACUAGAGUACUGGAGAGGUGGGCGGAACUACAAGUGUAGAGGUGAAAUUCGUAGAUAUUUGUAGGAAUGCCGAUGGGGAAGCCAGCCCACUGGACAGAUACUGACGCUAAAGCGCGAAAGCGUGGGUAGCAAACAGG